RNAcentral lists this ribosomal RNA (859 nucleotides) under Cytobacillus oceanisediminis. RNAcentral's name for it is "bacterial SSU rRNA". It matches the Rfam family "Bacterial small subunit ribosomal RNA", at positions 56 to 898 of the family's 1533-position model. Lineage: Bacteria; Bacillati; Bacillota; Bacilli; Caryophanales; Bacillaceae. The record is from RNAcentral.
UGCAAGUCGAGCGGACAGAUGGGAGCUUGCUCCCUGAAGUCAGCGGCGGACGGGUGAGUAACACGUGGGCAACCUGCCUGUAAGACUGGGAUAACUCCGGGAACCGGGGCUAAUACCGGAUAAUUCUUUCAACCACAUGAGGCAAACAUAAAAGAUGGCUUCGGCUACCACUUACAGAUGGACCCGCGGCGCAUUAGCUAGUUGGUGAGGUAACGGCUCACCAAGGCAACGAUGCGUAGCCGACCUGAGAGGGUGAUCGGCCACACUGGGACUGAGACACGGCCCAGACUCCUACGGGAGGCAGCAGUAGGGAAUCUUCCGCAAUGGACGAAAGUCUGACGGAGCAACGCCGCGUGAGUGAUGAAGGCUUUCGGAUCGUAAAACUCUGUUGUUAGGGAAGAACAAGUACCGGAGAAAAGGCCGGUACCUUGACGGUACCUAACCAGAAAGCCACGGCUAACUACGUGCCAGCAGCCGCGGUAAUACGUAGGUGGCAAGCGUUGUCCGGAAUUAUUGGGCGUAAAGCGCGCGCAGGCGGUUCCUUAAGUCUGAUGUGAAAGCCCCCGGCUCAACCGGGGAGGGUCAUUGGAAACUGGGGAACUUGAGUGCAGAAGAGAAGAGUGGAAUUCCACGUGUAGCGGUGAAAUGCGUAGAGAUGUGGAGGAACACCAGUGGCGAAGGCGACUCUCUGGUCUGUAACUGACGCUGAGGCGCGAAAGCGUGGGGAGCAAACAGGAUUAGAUACCCUGGUAGUCCACGCCGUAUACGAUGAGUGCUAAGUGUUAGAGGGUUUCCGCCCUUUAGUGCUGCAGCAAACGCAUUAAGCACUCCGCCUGGGGAGUACGGGCGCAAGGCUGAA